RNAcentral lists this long non-coding RNA (331 nucleotides) under Setaria italica (foxtail millet). Its description in RNAcentral is "long non-coding RNA (SITA_LNC007113)". The record is from RNAcentral. Lineage: Eukaryota; Viridiplantae; Streptophyta; Magnoliopsida; Poales; Poaceae.
UUUGAUUCUCCUUUGCUGCUUUUUCCUGCUCCUUCAGUUCAUUGAUCCUCUCUGGUGUGAAAGGGUAAGCCUCUACACCAUACUCGCUCACUAAUCCAACACCAUCCUCAGUGUAAACUUCACCAGUUUUUGCAUCAAGAAUGACAAGGUGUGGGAUACCAGAGACCUUAAACCGGCCAUCAAGGGCCUCACGGCCUUCAGAGUCAGAGAAAGGGACCGCCAACCAUGGCAUCUUUGCAAAGUACUCAUUGAAUGCUUCCUCAUCCUGAUCACCUGAAACAAAGACGACCUCGAAGCUCUUGCCCUGAGAAGCCAGUUCUUUGUAUGCUUC